RNAcentral lists this ribosomal RNA (484 nucleotides) under uncultured bacterium. RNAcentral's name for it is "bacterial SSU rRNA". It matches the Rfam family "Bacterial small subunit ribosomal RNA", at positions 28 to 526 of the family's 1533-position model. The record is from RNAcentral.
GACAAACGCUGGCGGGGUGCGUGAGACAUGCAAGUCGAACGAGGAUCCUCCGAGCUUGCUUGGAGGUCUCCUAGUGGCGGACGGCUGAGUAACGCGUAGGUGACCUGCCCGGAAGUGGGGAAUAACUGCCCGAAAGGGUGGCUAAUACCGCAUGUGGUCGGCGCUUCGGUGCAUCGACUAAAGGAGAAAUUCGCUUCCGGAGGGGCCUGCGUCCGAUUAGCUAGUUGGUGGGGUAACGGCUCACCAAGGCGACGAUCGGUAGCUGGUCUGAGAGGAUGAUCAGCCAGACUGGGACUGAGAACGGCCCAGACUCCUACGGGAGGCAGCAGUCGGGAAUUUUGCCCAAUGGACGAAAGUCUGAGGCAGCAACUCCGCGUGAGGGAUGAAGGCUCUCGGGUCGUAAACCUCUUUUCUCAGGGAAGAUCCAAGACGGUACCUGAGGAAUAAGCCACGGCUAACUACGUGCCAGCAGCCGCGGUAAAAC